AGGUAUUAUAGUGUUCUGUGGGUAUUGUUCCAGGUAUUAUAGUGUUCUGUGGGUAUUGUUCCAGGUAUUAUAGUGUUCUGUGGGUAUUGUUCCAGGUAUUAUAGUGUUCUGUGGGUAUUGUUCCAGGUAUUAUAGUGUUCUGUGGGUAUUGUUCCAGGUAUUAUAGUGUUCUGUGGGUAUCGUUCCAGGUAUUAUAGUGUGUUCUGUGGGUAUUGUUCCAGGUAUUAUAGUGUUCUGUGGGUAUUGUUCCAGGUAUUAUAGUGUGUUCUGUGGGUAUUGUUCCAGGUAUUAUAGUGUUCUGUGGGUAUUGUUCCAGGUGUUACAGUGUUCUGUGGGUAUUGUUCCAGGUGUUACAGUGUUCUGUGGGUAUUGUUCCAGGUAUUACAGUGUUCUGUGGGUAUUGUUCCAGGUAUUAUAGUGUUCUGUGGGUAUUGUUCCAGGUAUUACAGUGUUCUGUGGGUAUUGUUCCAGGUAUUACAGUGUUCUGUGGGUAUUGUUCCAGGUAUUAUAGUGUUCUGUGGGUAUUGUUCCAGGUAUUACAGUGUGUUCUGUGGGUAUUGUUCCAGGUAUUACAGUGUGUUCUGUGGGUAUUGUUCCAGGUAUUAUAGUGUUCUGUGGGUAUUGUUCCAGGUAUUAUAGUGUUCUGUGGGUAUUGUUCCAGGUAUUAUAGUGUUCUGUGGGUAUUGUUCCAGGUAUUAUAGUGUUCUGUGGGUAUUGUUCCAGGUAUUAUAGUGUUCUGUGGGUAUUGUUCCAGGUAUUAUAGUGUUCUGUGGGUAUUGUUCCAGGUAUUAUAGUGUGUUCUGUGGGUAUUGUUCCAGGUAUUACAGUGUUCUGUGGGUAUUGUUCCAGGUAUUAUAGUGUUCUGUAAGUAUUGUUCCAGG
RNAcentral lists this long non-coding RNA (881 nucleotides) under Salmo salar (Atlantic salmon). RNAcentral's name for it is "lncRNA (ENSSSAG00000097166.1)". The record is from RNAcentral. Lineage: Eukaryota; Metazoa; Chordata; Actinopteri; Salmoniformes; Salmonidae.